CACAGUCACACCCUCACCUCGUGUGCUGGCCUCUCCGCCAGGUACAGGCAUCCUGCUGGCUCUAUUCUCUACACUACAUGAGCUGCACACACUUGGGCCCACAUAGACAGCUUUCUACCUGCAGAGAUGAGGCUGAAUCUGGAACAACUCUUCAAGUCCUUGCUCUGUCAGUUGUAAACUAAGUGACCUGCAGCAAAUCCCUUCAGGUAAGGGUCUGGGUGAUGGGCCCAUCUGAUCCUUCUCUGAAAACUGAAUAUACAGAGUACUUGCCUUGUCAUAGUGCUGAGAGAAAUAACUGAAAUAUAGUGCUUAGCCCCUGGUAAGAAGUCAGCAGUAUGGACCAACUGUCGUAGCACACAUCUGUAAUCUCAGCACUCUAGAGGCUGAGGCAGGAGGAUCACCAUGAGUUUGAG
RNAcentral lists this long non-coding RNA (413 nucleotides) under Chinchilla lanigera (long-tailed chinchilla). RNAcentral's name for it is "lncRNA (ENSCLAG00000025955.1)". The record is from RNAcentral. Lineage: Eukaryota; Metazoa; Chordata; Mammalia; Rodentia; Chinchillidae.